GGCCAGACUCCUACGGGAGGCAGCAGUGGGGAAUAUUGGGCAAUGGGCGCAAGCCUGACCCAGCAACGCCGCGUGAAGGAAGAAGGCCCUCGGGUUGUAAACUUCUUUUAUUCGGGACGAAACAAAUGACGGUACCGAAUGAAUAAGCCACGGCUAACUACGUGCCAGCAGCCGCGGUAAUACGUAGGUGGCAAGCGUUGUCCGGAUUUACUGGGUGUAAAGGGCGUGCAGCCGGGCUGACAAGUCAGAUGUGAAAUCCCGCGGCUCAACCGCGGAACUGCAUUUGAAACUGUCAGUCUUGAGUACCGGAGAGGUCAUCGGAAUUCCUUGUGUAGCGGUGAAAU
Molecule: ribosomal RNA, 344 nt
Filed under: uncultured bacterium
Lineage: Bacteria
Description: partial 16S ribosomal RNA
Rfam family: Bacterial small subunit ribosomal RNA
Source: RNAcentral